This is a non-coding RNA of Petromyzon marinus (sea lamprey), 362 nucleotides long. Lineage: Eukaryota; Metazoa; Chordata; Hyperoartia; Petromyzontiformes; Petromyzontidae. The record is from RefSeq and is a predicted model, not a curated record.
GAGAGUGAAACCCAAGAAACUGAGAGUGAAACCCGAGAAACUGAGGUUAUACCCAAGAAACUGAGAGUGAAACCCAAGAAAGUGAGAGUGAAACCCAAGAAACUGAGAGUGAAACCCGAGAAACUGAGAGGGAACCCAAAGAAACUGAGCUGAAACCUAAGAAACUGAGAUUUAAACCCAAGAAACUGAGGGAAACCCAAUAAACUGAGAGUGAAACCCAAGAUACUGAGCUUGAAACGCAAGAAACUGAGGGAAACCCAAGAAACUGAGAGUGAAACCCAAGAAACUGAGAGUGAAACCCAAGAAACUGAGAGUGAAACCCAAGAAACUGAGCUGGAAAUCUUUGAAACUGAGAAUUAAAC